GUGAGUGCAUGUGUGGGACGGUGUGUGUGUGUGCUUGGGUCUGUGUCUGUGUGUGCGUGCUUGUGUGUGUGCGGGCAUGUAAGCAUGUGUGUGUGUGUGUGUGUGUGUGUGGAGUUCUGUGUCAAAGACAGUGAACCCGAAUCAGUCUAAAUGAGCGUUGAACACAUCAACACAGAAUCUGAGCUAACACUGAUUAGCGCAUGAGCCAAUUAGCAUGUGUCUCUCCAUUCACUAAGCACCAGAAGUGACAGCAGAAGAUGUUUCACAACCACAGAGGACCUAUUGGGGGACUUUGGCAGCAUAACACUGUUCAACGACCGUUUAAACUAUAUAAAUACUCCAAAAUCCUAUUUUUCAGACCUUCUGUUUCCAUAGUGAUGCUGCCCUGUUCUCAACAGUUUGGAGUGGUUUGGAAGCACACACACAGACACGCAUAAACACGCACAUGCACAUGCACUCACACACUGACACAACCAUACACAAACACACACUGACACACACUAACGAACAAACACACACACGCUCACACACACACA
Gadus macrocephalus (Pacific cod) is the source of this 536-nucleotide long non-coding RNA. RefSeq lists it as uncharacterized. The record is from RefSeq and is a predicted model, not a curated record. The transcript is spliced from 2 exons. NCBI's taxonomy places the organism in Eukaryota, Metazoa, Chordata, Actinopteri, Gadiformes, Gadidae.